AGUUAAUUAACUUAAAAUUAAAGUUUAUAUUUUGAAAAUAUAAUAUAGAGAUUCUUCUAUUAACUU
This 66-nucleotide transfer RNA is filed under the name Scelio sp. ZJUH_2016028. RNAcentral's name for it is "tRNA-Ser". The record is from RNAcentral. Lineage: Eukaryota; Metazoa; Arthropoda; Insecta; Hymenoptera; Scelionidae.